CCUACGGGAGGCAGCAGUGAGGAAUAUUGGUCAAUGGACGCAAGUCUGAACCAGCCAUGCCGCGUGCAGGAAUACGGCUCUAUGAGUUGUAAACUUCUUUUGUACGAGGGUAAAUCCCGAUACGUGUCUCGGGUUGAAAGGAUCGUACGAAUAAGGACCGGAUAAAUCCGUGCCAGCAGCCGCGGUAAUCCGGAGGGUUGAAGCUUUAUCCGGAUUUAUUGUGUUUAAAGGGUGCGUAGGCGGGUCUCUAAGUUAGAGGUGAAAUCCCGGGGCUCAACUCCGACCAUGCCUCUGAUACUGUCGAGCUAGAGUUUAGGUGCGGUAGGCGGAAUGUGUGGUGUAGCGGUGAAAUGCAUAGAGAUCACACAGAACCCCGAUUGCGAAGGCAGCAUACCAAACUACGACUGACGUUCAGGCACGAAAGCGUGGGUAGCGAACAGGAUUAGAUACCCCAGUAGUC
Molecule: ribosomal RNA, 460 nt
Filed under: uncultured bacterium
Lineage: Bacteria
Description: partial 16S ribosomal RNA
Rfam family: Bacterial small subunit ribosomal RNA
Source: RNAcentral